Molecule: ribosomal RNA, 176 nt
Filed under: Ebenopsis ebano
Lineage: Eukaryota; Viridiplantae; Streptophyta; Magnoliopsida; Fabales; Fabaceae
Description: 5.8S ribosomal RNA
Rfam family: 5.8S ribosomal RNA (bases 1-154)
About the family: 5.8S ribosomal RNA (5.8S rRNA) is a component of the large subunit of the eukaryotic ribosome. It is transcribed by RNA polymerase I as part of the 45S precursor that also contains 18S and 28S rRNA.
Source: RNAcentral
GACUCUCGGCAACGGAUAUCUCGGCUCUCGCAUCGAUGAAGAACGUAGCGAAAUGCGAUACUUGGUGUGAAUUGCAGAAUCCCGUGAACCAUCGAGUCUUUGAACGCAAGUUGCGCCCGAGGCCUCGGCCGAGGGCACGUCUGCCUGGGUGUCACGCAACGUCGCCAGCGCCCAUC